GAUGAACGCUGGCGGCGUGCCUAAUACAUGCAAGUCGAGCGAACAGACGAGGAGCUUGCUCCUCUGACGUUAGCGGCGGACGGGAGAGUAACACGUGGAUAACCUACCUAUAAGACUGGGAUAACUUCGGGACACCGGAGCUAAUACCGUAUAAUAUAUUGCACCGCAUGGUUGAAUGGUGAGAGACGGUUUUGCUGUCACUAAUAGAGGGAUACCGGCUGUAUUAGCUAGUUGUUAAGGUAAAGGCUUACCAAGGGGACGAGGCGUAGCCGACCUGUGAGAGGGAUAGCCCACCCUAGAACGGAACCACGGUCCAGACUCCUGCGGGAGGGAGCAGUAGGGAAUCGUCCGCAGUGGGCGGAAGCCUGACGGAGCAGGGCGGCGUGAGUGACGACGGUGUUCGGAUCGGAAAACUCUGUUACUAGGGAUAAACAAAUGUGUAAGUAACUAUGCCCGGCGUGACGGUACCUAAUCAGAAAGCCCCGGCUAACUACGUG
This 497-nucleotide ribosomal RNA is filed under the name uncultured bacterium. Its description in RNAcentral is "partial 16S ribosomal RNA". It matches the Rfam family "Bacterial small subunit ribosomal RNA", at positions 28 to 507 of the family's 1533-position model. The record is from RNAcentral.